This 227-nucleotide long non-coding RNA is filed under the name Manihot esculenta (cassava). RNAcentral's name for it is "long non-coding RNA (MESC_LNC013090)". Lineage: Eukaryota; Viridiplantae; Streptophyta; Magnoliopsida; Malpighiales; Euphorbiaceae. The record is from RNAcentral.
UAAGAAGGCACGAGAGUGGUUCAAGAAUUAUGUGAACCCCAGAGUAGACAGCAUGUCUUGGGAGGAGUUUGCAAACGAGUUUGCAGGAUGGGCGUUCCCAGAUAGUUCAAGGGAGCUGAAGAUGAUAGAGUUUGAGCAGUUGAGGCAGACCGAGGAUAUAGGUGUAGAGGAGUUCACAGACAGAUUCUUGGAGCUGUUGCCAUUUGCAGGGCAAAACCUUGACACGG